This 402-nucleotide ribosomal RNA is filed under the name uncultured bacterium. Its description in RNAcentral is "bacterial SSU rRNA". It matches the Rfam family "Bacterial small subunit ribosomal RNA", at positions 355 to 754 of the family's 1533-position model. The record is from RNAcentral.
UAGGGAAUAUUGGACAAUGGGUGCGAGCCUGAUCCAGCCAUGCCGCGUGCAGGAAGAAGGCGUUAUGCGUUGUAAACUGCUUUUGCCAGGGGAUAAAAUAACUGUGCGCAGUUGAUUGAAGGUACCUGGUGAAUAAGCCACGGCUAACUACGUGCCAGCAGCCGCGGUAAUACGUAGGUGGCAAGCGUUGUCCGGAUUUAUUGGGUUUAAAGGGUGCGUAGGCGGCCCUGUAAGUCAGUGGUGAAAUAUCUCAGCUUAACUGAGAGGGUGCCAUUGAUACUGCGGGGCUUGAGUACAGAUGAGGUAGGCGGAAUUGACGGUUGUAGCGGUUGAAAUGCAUAGAUAUCGUCAAGACACCGAUAGCGAAGGCAGCUUACCAAGCUGUAACUGACGCUGAGGCAC